This 465-nucleotide ribosomal RNA is filed under the name uncultured bacterium. RNAcentral's name for it is "partial 16S ribosomal RNA". It matches the Rfam family "Bacterial small subunit ribosomal RNA", at positions 28 to 507 of the family's 1533-position model. The record is from RNAcentral.
GACGAACGCUGGCGGCGUGCUUAACACAUGCAAGUCGAACGGAAAGGCCCCCUUUUGUGGUACUCGAGUGGCUAACGGGUGAGUAACACGUGAGUAACCUACCCUUGACUUUGGGAUAACUUCAUGAAACUGGGUCUAAUACCGGAUAGGAGCUCCUGCUGCAUGUUGGGGGUUGGAAAUUUUCGUCGGUUGGGGAUGGAAUCGCGGCUUAUCAGCUUGUUGGUGGGGUAGUGGCUAACCAAGGCGUUGAGGGGUAGCCGGCCUGAGAGGGUGACCGGACACAUCGGGAUUGAACUAAGACACAGCCCCGACCGGGAGGCAGCAGUGGAGAAGAGUGCACAAUGGGAGGAAGCAUGAUCCAGUCCAGCCGCGUGCGGGAUGACGGCAUUCGGGUUGUAAACCGAUGUCGCCUGUGACGAAGCGUGAGUGACGGUAAUGGGUAAAGAAGCACCGGCUAACUACGUG